Cavia porcellus (domestic guinea pig) is the source of this 569-nucleotide long non-coding RNA. RefSeq lists it as uncharacterized. The transcript has 2 exons. NCBI's taxonomy places the organism in Eukaryota, Metazoa, Chordata, Mammalia, Rodentia, Caviidae. The record is from RefSeq and is a predicted model, not a curated record.
UGUAUAGACUGGGCACAAGGCCCGUGCACCCUUCACUAUGGGUGAGCUGCACAUGAAGUGUGAGAGGAAAGGCCAGGCCUCUCACUCUGCUCCCUACCUCUCAGCCCCAGGUCCACCUCUUCUGUGCUUGACUCUGCACUGCAACUCUGCACUCAUGGGGAUCACCAGGGUGAGCUUCUCUGGAACAGCUGUCCUGGGCUUCUCUGGAAUGAGUUGGAGCUUCCUGCGGCCACCAAGCCUGAGUCCAAAGGGGCAGUCUCAGCCCAUGCAAAAGAUGAACCUUCAGAGCUCAUGCCAGCUCCACAUGCAGCUCCGUCACCUGCUCUGACCCCACAGCAAGAGGAGGCACCAGGAUUCCCUUGUCCACCAGCUGCAGAGCAGGAUCUCCUGGUGGCUUCCCAGCAGGAGUCAUCUCUUCAGCUCUACCUGCAGGCAGCUCUUGACCCACACCUGCCAUUCCCCUCUCUUCCAGAUUUACCUAUUGUUGUGUUCACUGCUACCCUUAUUUUCCAGAGAUAUGAUACAACCAAUAUAAAUAAAGUUUGAGAUUUCAGUGUUAUUUAAAAUAA